GUCCUGGCCUUAAACGAUGGAUGCUUGGUGUCUGGAGUUUUAUAGUCUCCGGGUGCCGUAGCUAACGCGUUAAGCAUCCCGCCUGGGGAGUACGGUCGCAAGACUGAAACUCAAAGGAAUUGACGGGGACCCGCACAAGCGGUGGAGCAUGUGGUUCAAUUCGACGCAACGCGAAGAACCUUACCUGGGCUAGAAUGCCUCUGACAACUCCAGAGAUGGAGCUUCUUAGGGAAACCUAGGCGGAGUGCAAGGUGCUGCAUGGCUGUCGU
RNAcentral lists this ribosomal RNA (269 nucleotides) under uncultured bacterium. RNAcentral describes it as "partial 16S ribosomal RNA". It matches the Rfam family "Bacterial small subunit ribosomal RNA", at positions 793 to 1055 of the family's 1533-position model. The record is from RNAcentral.